CCUACGGGGGGCUGCAGUGGGGAAUAUUGGACAAUGGGCGCAAGCCUGAUCCAGCAAUGCCGCGUGUGUGAAGACGGCCUGCGGGUUGUAAAGCACUUUCAGUGGGGAGGAAGGCCUCGAUAUUAAUACUAUUGCGGAUUGACGUUACCCACAGAAGAAGCACCGGCUAACUCUGUGCCAGCAGCCGCGGUAAUACAGAGGGUGCAAGCGUUAAUCGGAAUUAGUGGGGGUAAAGUGGUAGGAGGUGGGUGAAAGCCCCGGGCUCAACCUGGGAAUGGCGUUUGAUACUGAGGAGCUUGAGUAUGGUAGAGGGAAGUGGAAUUUCCAGUGUAGCGGUGAAAUGCGUAGAUAUUGGAAGGAACAUCAGUGGCGAAGGCGACUUCCUGGACCAUUACUGACACUGAGGCACGAAAGCGUGGGGAGCGAACAGGAUUAGAUACCCCUGUAGUC
This 450-nucleotide ribosomal RNA is filed under the name uncultured bacterium. Its description in RNAcentral is "partial 16S ribosomal RNA". It matches the Rfam family "Bacterial small subunit ribosomal RNA", at positions 338 to 795 of the family's 1533-position model. The record is from RNAcentral.